Small nucleolar RNA from Molossus molossus (Pallas's mastiff bat), 131 nucleotides. RefSeq annotates it as small nucleolar RNA SNORA30/SNORA37 family. The transcript has a single exon. Lineage: Eukaryota; Metazoa; Chordata; Mammalia; Chiroptera; Molossidae. The record is from RefSeq and is a predicted model, not a curated record.
UUAGCACUUUUCACAGGUCCUCCCCCCAGGCAGUGGGGCUAGGAUUUGGUAGCUGGUGAUGAAAAAAAAAACCUUGAUUGCAUUCUUGCUCUGGGACUGUGCCAGUGACAGCUGUCCCUCAGUGGCCAGAA